UUUGAUGGCGACCGGCGCACGGGUGAGUAACACGUAUCCAACCUGCCGAUGACUCGGGGAUAGCCUUUCGAAAGAAAGAUUAAUACCCGAUGGCAUAGUUCUUCCGCAUGGUAGAACUAUUAAAGAAUUUCGGUCAUCGAUGGGGAUGCGUUCCAUUAGUUAGUUGGCGGGGUAACGGCCCACCAAGACAACGAUGGAUAGGGGUUCUGAGAGGAAGGUCCCCCACAUUGGAACUGAGACACGGUCCAAACUCCUACGGAAGGCAGCAG
RNAcentral lists this ribosomal RNA (269 nucleotides) under uncultured bacterium. RNAcentral's name for it is "partial 16S ribosomal RNA". It matches the Rfam family "Bacterial small subunit ribosomal RNA", at positions 84 to 354 of the family's 1533-position model. The record is from RNAcentral.